The sequence is a transfer RNA, 75 nucleotides long. It matches the Rfam family "tRNA". From Rfam's summary of the family: Transfer RNA (tRNA) molecules are approximately 80 nucleotides in length.
UGGGGUGUAGCCAAGCGGUAAGGCAACGGACUUUGACUCCGUCAUUCGCGCGUUCGAACCGCGCCAUCCCAGCCA